UUGAAACUUGAAUCGUAGCAUUGAGAACUGUUGCUGACCUGUUAAAGGGUAUGUGCACGUUCGACGUGUUGCGUUCUAUUCAUCCACCUGUGCACCUUUAUUUCUUGUUGCCUUGGCGGGUCUAGGGGGAGACCCCGGGGGCCUCGCGGCCCCGCCCGCCAGGGGGACAGCCCUUAAACUCUUUGUUAACCGGGUCGUCUGAGAAAACAAAACAAAUGAAUUA
RNAcentral lists this unclassified non-coding RNA (223 nucleotides) under uncultured Helicosporium. RNAcentral's name for it is "sequence contains ITS1". The record is from RNAcentral. Lineage: Eukaryota; Fungi; Ascomycota; Dothideomycetes; Tubeufiales; Tubeufiaceae.